Molecule: long non-coding RNA, 320 nt
Organism: Arabidopsis thaliana (thale cress)
Lineage: Eukaryota; Viridiplantae; Streptophyta; Magnoliopsida; Brassicales; Brassicaceae
Product: other RNA
Exons: 1
Source: RefSeq
CGGCCGACAUCGUUUCCUUGACGUCGGCCGGUUGUUUCUCUUCUGCUUUCUAGUUUCAAUUCCCCUGUUCUAGUUAUAAACCAUUAAUAAUUUGGCCAAUGUUUUCCACAAAUUCUUUGGCUCUCUUUGUUCAAAUCUUCAUAAUCUUCCUCUCCUUUGGGAUGAGUAUCAAUCCGACCACAAUCCGGCGAGUUUUUCGGUGGUGUGUCGAUGCCUUUCCGCUGAAUAUCUAUUUAAGUGAGUCUCUUUGUUCUUUGAUUGUAAUGGACUCUCAUCUACAUCGUCGAUUCGUUUUCGACAUGAAUUUCUUUUUGAGAGAU